RNAcentral lists this ribosomal RNA (240 nucleotides) under uncultured bacterium. Its description in RNAcentral is "partial 16S ribosomal RNA". It matches the Rfam family "Bacterial small subunit ribosomal RNA", at positions 524 to 762 of the family's 1533-position model. The record is from RNAcentral.
UACGGUAGGGUGCGAGCGUUAAUCGGAAUUACUGGGCGUAAAGCGUGCGCAGGCGGUUCCAUAAGACAGAUGUGAAAUCCCCGGGGCUUAACCUGGGAACUGCGUUUGUGACUGUGGGACUCGAGUGUGGCAGAGGGGGUGGAAUUCCACGUGUAGCAGUGAAAUGCGUAGAGAUGUGGAGGAACACCGAUGGCGAAGGCAGCCCCCUGGGUCAACACUGACGCUCAUGCACGAAAGCGU